AAGCCAUGGUGAGGACAAGUAUUAAUGGCUCCCAUGUAUCUUUCCCAACACUCAUAGAAUUUCUCAUUCUCUUUAGAUGAGAAGUUUGAAAUUUGUCUUUUCAAGCU
Small nucleolar RNA from Vitis vinifera (wine grape), 107 nucleotides. It matches the Rfam family "Plant small nucleolar RNA R71". Rfam says of the family: R71 is a member of the C/D box family of snoRNAs containing the C (UGAUGA) and D (CUGA) box motifs. Multiple nearly identical copies of this snoRNA have been identified in Arabidopsis, and it is thought to function as a 2'-O-ribose methylation guide for 18S ribosomal RNA. The record is from Rfam. Lineage: Eukaryota; Viridiplantae; Streptophyta; Magnoliopsida; Vitales; Vitaceae.